This 29-nucleotide non-coding RNA is filed under the name Mus musculus (house mouse). The record is from RNAcentral. RNAcentral also lists the same sequence under 1 other name. Lineage: Eukaryota; Metazoa; Chordata; Mammalia; Rodentia; Muridae.
UGGGUAGUGAAAUCAAUUUCAUGGGCUGC